Bos taurus (domestic cattle) is the source of this 2641-nucleotide long non-coding RNA. The record is from Ensembl. Lineage: Eukaryota; Metazoa; Chordata; Mammalia; Artiodactyla; Bovidae.
GCCAGAUCCUAUGAUGCUGGAGGAUGUCAAACCUCUCCCAGACAACUUGGCUACCUGAAGAACCCUUUGGAAUAAACUGAGUGAACAUGAGGAAGUGUGGUCUCAAAUGAAAGGAGAGAUUUUGAAGGAAUAAAAAGUAAUGAGCAGGUGUCCAAGGAAAAGCAACAGUCUCUGCCAAAUGCUCCUCUGCAAAGCUGGUUUUCCUCAGUUUUUCAAUCUCCAAGUCUUUGGUUAAUCUUCACUACUCCAAAGGCAGCAUCAAAAAGAUUAAAAUCCAAAUAAAGAAUAAUCCCUUGCUACCAUCUCAUCUCUUUUGAAUCUAAUCUUCCCCAGAGAACAAAACUCGCCCUUGCUGAAAAACUGGACGCACGAGGUACGGAAGAGAGCGGGAUAGUGCCGCUUAAUUGCAAAAUACUUUCUUAAAAAGCCUAAGCACCAAAGCUCUGCCAUUUUGAAAUUAGGUUUCUCUGGGCUCAGCAAGAGUUUGCUCUUUCUGUAUGUGCUCUGCUCAUACAUCUGAAACCAUCUCUGCAAAUUAACAAGCACCUAAAGAGUUUCUCCUCAUCCCAACCAAAUACUAUCUCCCUGGGAAAGCCCAGAUCCCUGUUGGCUCAGGCUUUUGUCUCGGUCAAACCCAUCCUGACUCUAAAAUGAAUACUUUUUCUUGCCAAACCCAACCAUGGCUCCAUGCCAGCAAUACCAUCUGCUACACCUGGGCUGCCACAGUAUAAACCAGCUGCCGCCACACCACACACGAGACCAAGCCUUCCCACAGGGCACUUUGACCCUAAAUUCCAGACUGUUGUUUCCCACUCAGCCCCACAGUGAACAGCAAUAUUUAGAAAUUCAAGCUGAAGUUUAGAUGACAUUAGACUGGUAUUAAGUUCAGAUCCUGCCUUAGCACUCACCUCUUCUACUCCUUGGAAGAAAAGCUAUGACCAACCUAGACAGCAUAUUAAAAAGCUGAGGACCUUUGCAUUACCAGCAAAGGUCCGUCUAGUCAAAGCUAAGAUUUUUUCCAGUAGUCAUGUAUGGAUGUGAAAGCUGGAUUAUAAAGAAAGCUGAGCGCUGAAGAAUUGAGGCUUUUGAACUGUGGUGUUGGAGAAGACUCUUGAGAGUCCCUUGGACUGCAAAGAGAUCCAACCAGUCCAUCCAAAAGGAAAUCAGUCCUGAAUAUUCACUGGAAGGACUGAUGCUGAAGCUGAAAUUCCAAAUGCUUUGACCACCUGAUGUGAAAAACCAACUCAUUGGAAAAGACCCUGAUGCUGGAAAAGAUUGAAGGUGGGAGGAGAAGGGGAUGACAGAGGAUGAGAUGGUUGGAUGGCAUGACCGAUGUGAUGGACAUGAGUUUGAGUAGGCUCCGGGAGUUGGUGAUAGACAGGGAAGCCUGGCGUGCUGCAGUCCAUGGGGUCGCAAAGAGUUGGACACGACUGAGCAACUGAAUUGAACUUAACUUCUGCCUAUACAUUUUCCAGCCAAGAAAGCUACAGUUAAGGAAUAGUAACCAGUGAGGAAAAUCAUCACUUUAUUAACAGUCAAGCCAGCACUUGAUAAGUCCUAAUGCUAAGGUCUGACAGAACCUAGACUGAAGAAUGUGAUUUAGUGACUUCUGACAGCUUUGGCCACCUGAUGCGAAGAGCAGACUCAUUCAAAAAGACCCUGAUGCUGGGAAAGAUUGAGGGCAGGAGGAGAAGGGGACAACAGAAGAUAAGAUGGUUGGAUGGCAUCACCAACUCAAUGGACAUGGGUUUGGGUGGACUCCAGGAGUUGGUGAUAGACAGGGAGGCCUAGUGUGCUGCCGUUCACGGGGUCGCAAAGAGUCAGACAUGACUGAGAAACUGAACUGAACUGAACUGACAGCCUAAAUGAGACUUCCCAUCUCUUCCCCUCUAUUUAAAAUGGCAAGGUCUAAAGAGAAAACAGACUCUAUCAUUAUGCAACCACCCAGUAGCAGACAUGGAAGUGGGGAAAAAGAGAGUGAGUCUUGUCUGGACAGCUCAACACAAUUCAAGAUGCAAAAGAAGAAGAAUGUACCAGUUUUAAAAAGACAGCCACCAUGGAAAACAGUAUGGUGGUUUCUCAAAAAAUAAAAAUAGCACUACAUUGUGAACCCACAAUUCCACUCCUGGUUAUAUAUCUGGGAAAAAAAUUAAAACACUAAUUUAAAAGAUACAUGUACCACCAAGUUCAUAGCAGCACUAUUUACAAUAGCAACAUAAAGAAACAAUCCAAGUGUCUAUCAACACACAAAUGGAUAAAAACAAAGAUGUGGUAUAUUUAUACAAUGAAAUAUUACUCAGCCAUAGAAAAGAAUGAAAUUCUGACAUUUGCAGCAACAUGAAUGGACUUCAGAGUAUUAUGCUUAGUGAAAAGUCAGAGAAAGACAAGUAGUGCUUGAUAUCACUUACACGUGUAAUGUAAAAACAAAACAAAGGAUGAAUGUAGCAAAUCAGAAAUAGACUCACAGAUACAGAAAACAAACUAGUAAUUACCAGUAGGGAGAAGGAAGGGGGGAUGCAAGAUAGGGGUAUGGGAUUGGGAGAUGCAAACUACUAUGUAUAAAAUAUAUGAGUAACAAGGAUACAUUGUACAGCACAGGGAAUUAUUUUGUUUUGUAAUAACUUUUAAUGCAGUAUAAUCU